AAAUGCUUUCUUUUAUAAGAGUUGCCUUGGUCACAGUGUAUAGAAUAAUGACUAAGACAGUGUCCGUACACUUGAAUACAGGUGUUCUCAAGAGAGUUACAGGCAGCUGUGAGCCACUGGAUGGGAGCUGAACUCUGGUCCAUCUUGCUUGGCUGUAAGGCCUCAAACUCACAAACUCACAGUGUUCUUCAUGUCUCAGCCUCCACUCCGCAUAUCUUCAGUCCUAUGUAACAGAUACACUCUCUGGCUCAAUUGAUUGAUCUGCAAGAGCACAUCACACUGAGGUUCCCAGUCUUAAGACAUUCACAUUGUUGCUGUUGUUGUUUAAACACAGAGCCAAACUCUAGCCAAGACUGCAAAUCAUGGUAACCCUGCCUCAGCUUCUCCAGUGCUGGGAUUGCAAGUGUGCAUCACUUCACCUGAUUUAGAAAUCCUUAUCACACUCAGGAGGUGGAGGCAGCUACACAGUGAGCUGAAGACCAGCCACAACGACAUGGGACCUUGUCUCAAAUAAAUAAAGUCUAAAGUAAUGUGUGGGGUAGGGGUUAGAACUGGACAGAUGGCUCAGUGGCUAAGAGAACUUGCUCCUUCUGCAGAGGACCAGAGUUUGGUUCCCACCAACCACAUCCAGGGGAUUGUAACUACCUGUAAUUCGAGUUCCAAAAAUCAGAUGCUUGCAUGUGCACACAGAAAGUAAAUACUUAAAAUGAACAAUUGCUAACACUAUCUCUGCUCUCUGGUAAAUCCAAACCUCGCCUUUCUGAUGGACUCUAGCUUUCACUUGUGGGAGUGCUUGCUUUGUAAAAUAUUGUCUCACAUAUUUGAGGCCUAGGCUGUUGUUUCUGUCUAUAUUUUCAUUUGACUUGGCCUGAAAUCAUUCUGUUCCUCCUUAAAUAGUGUAUUAGUCCUCAAGGAUACACAUCAGUUGAACCGUUUAACCGAAGGCCCCAUCACCCAAGAACAGCAGCGCUGAGCAAGAAGACAUGGACUGUGUCAGACCCCGUUAGUGGAAGCUGUGUGGGGCGGGAGCCAGCCUGCCUCAAGGAAGGCUCUCCAGCCAGGAGCUUCAGGCUACAGAUUCAGGGGUGGCUAAUGGGGCUGUUGGGUAGCAGCCUCCAGCAGGCUCCUGGCAGAGAUGACUACAGAACCAACAAAUAAUGCAGGCAGGACCAGGACAAAACCUACAACCUUGUGGGUGGCAAGCAAACACUCUACCACCGAUGACCUCAUGGCUGGAUGUCCCCUGGCUCUGCAGCUUGCUAGGCGAGUAAUCUACCAGAUGGACACCAAGCUCUGGUCUUAAGUUUUAGUAGAAUUUGGCUUGACCUGACCUCCACACUAGCCUAUUGAGAAGCACGUCAUCUAUAGCUGCAGAGUUUUCCAGAGGUCACACUUGGGAAAAACUAAGUCAUGGCCUAGAGAGAAGGCCAGGCACUUUCAGACUGGAGAGACUUGGAGAAACUUCUUGCAUCUGAACUCCUCCCAAGACCUCUAUGAGGCUGGCUUGCCUAAGCACUUGGAAGAUGGAGGCUGGAACUCAUGGUCAUCCUAACACACACAAAUCAAACUGUAAGGACAGUUAACAAUGGCAGCGAUGGAGAGGGGUGACCAGAAAUUCCAAGAAGAAUACAAUUUGCGGCUCGAUGGGAUGAGCUUUUCUGCUGUUUGUUUUAUUUCUGUUCCUUGAGACAGGGACUUGCCAUGUAGUUAGUCCUCACUAGCCUACCACUUGCUUUGUAGGCUGGCCUUGGAUUAAACGUGUGUGUGUGUGUGUGUGUGUGUGUGUGUGUCUGUCUGUCUGUCUGUCUGUCUGUCUGUCUGUCUCGCUGGGUGAUGGUGGUCAGAGGCAGGGGCGACCAGCAGCGCAGGCAGCAAAGGUGCAUGCCUUUAGUCCCAGCACCUGGGAUGCAGAAGCAGGCAGCUUUCUGUGAGCUCAAGGCAAGCCUGCUCUACAGAGGGAGUUCCAGGGCAGCCAGGGCUACACAACAAAAACCUGUCUCAAAAACAAAAACAAACAAACAAAAAUAUGUGUGUGUGCAGCCCAACUCCACAAAAUAGUAUUUCAGUGCCCAGGAGGGUCGGUAGAUUCCUCAGUUUGUGCUGACCCUUAUACUAAUUAAGCCCAUUAAGUCAGAUUACUUCUUUCUUCCAUCCCCCCAGAGACAACCCCCAGGGUGUCCUCAAAUGAACCCCGAAGAGACCAGGAGCUGAAUCCUCACUCUGGAAGUUCUCAGUAUUUUUUACACCACUAUUUCAGUAUCUUGUCACAACAGUCUCUGAAGAUUCUCAAGAAAGAGAUGACAGCCUGAGGACUGGAGAGAUGGCUUGGUGCUUAAAAGUGCUCGAUGGUUUUGCAGAGGACUCAAAUCCAGCUCCCAGCACUCAAGCCAGGCAGUCGAGAACCACCUACAGCUUCAGGGGAUCUAAUGCUCCAUUCUGGUCUCAACUGGGCAGCUGCACUCACAUGAGCACACAGACACACAGGCACACAUAGUGAAAACAUGAAGCAGAGGCCUGGAGAGAGGGCUCAGCAGGUAAGAGCAUGGCUGUUCUUCCAGGGAACAUGAGUUCAUUUUCCAGCACCCACAUGGCAGCUCACAAAUGUCUGUAGCUCUAGCUCCAUGGAAUCUGAUGCCUUCUUCUGGCGUCCAUGGGCACUGUAUGCACAUAAUGGAUACCUAUGCAUACAGGCAAAGCACUGAUACACAUUUUAAAAAAAAUUAAAGUCUUUUUUAAAAAGCCAUUCAGCACAGGCAAGCUGAGCACUCCCAAGAUGAGCCCUACCUGGUGCCACGAGGAAGAGAGCCAGAGGCCCCGGGAGCCUCUAAGAGGAGCAAGUAAGCAA
This is a long non-coding RNA of Mus musculus (house mouse), 2845 nucleotides long. RefSeq annotates it as predicted gene, 46903. The transcript has 2 exons. NCBI's taxonomy places the organism in Eukaryota, Metazoa, Chordata, Mammalia, Rodentia, Muridae. The record is from RefSeq and is a predicted model, not a curated record.